Long non-coding RNA from Neogale vison (American mink), 206 nucleotides. RefSeq lists it as uncharacterized. The record is from RefSeq and is a predicted model, not a curated record. Lineage: Eukaryota; Metazoa; Chordata; Mammalia; Carnivora; Mustelidae. The transcript is spliced from 3 exons.
GGGAAAAGGCGAAGGAAAAAUAAAGACCAGCAGAAAGGAAGAUGACAAAAAUCAUUUGAAAUCCAUCAAUGUAUUGAGAGAUUUGCUAAUAAUGAUUGCUGCCCUCAUGGGAUGUUCUAAGGAUAAAGCAAAGGAUGAAGUGAAGUAUUCGGAACAGUGUCUGCCCAAAGGAGCCAAGCAAACUAGGCUGCAGUCACCGCCGGUUU